UAAGGAAUAUUGGACAAUGGUCGCAAGACUGAUCCAGCCAUGCCGCGUGCAGGAAGACGGCCCUAUGGGUUGUAAACUGCUUUUGUACCAGAGAAAACCUAUCUACGUGUAGAUAGCUGAUAGUAUGGUCAGAAUAAGCAUCGGCUAACUUCGUGCCAGCAGCCGCGGUAAGACGAAGGAUGCAAGCGUUAUCCGGAUUCAUUGGGUUUAAAGGGUGCGUAGGCGGGCUUGUAAGUCAGUGGUGAAAUCUCUCAGCUUAACUGAGAAACUGCCAUUGAUACGGCAGGCGUAGAGUAUAGAUGACGUUGGCGGAAGAUGACAUGUAGGGGUGAGAUACUUAGAUAUGUCAUAGAACACCCAUUGCAAAGGCAGGUAGCGGAACUAUAACUGACGCCGAGGCACGAAAGUGCAGGGAUCAAACA
This 422-nucleotide ribosomal RNA is filed under the name uncultured bacterium. RNAcentral describes it as "bacterial SSU rRNA". It matches the Rfam family "Bacterial small subunit ribosomal RNA", at positions 355 to 774 of the family's 1533-position model. The record is from RNAcentral.